This 22-nucleotide microRNA is filed under the name Bos taurus (domestic cattle). RNAcentral's name for it is "bta-miR-12053". Lineage: Eukaryota; Metazoa; Chordata; Mammalia; Artiodactyla; Bovidae. The record is from miRBase by way of RNAcentral.
UAUCCAGGACUAGGUCUGCAGA